This 206-nucleotide long non-coding RNA is filed under the name Capsicum annuum. RNAcentral's name for it is "long non-coding RNA (CANN_LNC004907)". Lineage: Eukaryota; Viridiplantae; Streptophyta; Magnoliopsida; Solanales; Solanaceae. The record is from RNAcentral.
ACUCCUCUGCUUGUACCUGCAGAAGUAGAUUGAUAAACGUUAUGGGUUUUAUGGAAUGUCCCAUCGUCUCCUUCUAGCUCUGGAACUUUAAUGUCUUCCAAUCGACAUAGCUCUGCACACUGCUGAGUUAGCUGAUUUGUAGCUAUAGACUUCAGUUUAUCUUCAUUAGUCUUUAGCUUUUCUAUCUCAUUACCCAUACUGUCCAC